This 1155-nucleotide ribosomal RNA is filed under the name Absidia californica. RNAcentral's name for it is "SSU rRNA". It matches the Rfam family "Eukaryotic small subunit ribosomal RNA", at positions 38 to 1189 of the family's 1831-position model. Lineage: Eukaryota; Fungi; Mucoromycota; Mucoromycetes; Mucorales; Cunninghamellaceae. The record is from RNAcentral.
CAAAGAUUAAGCCAUGCAUGUCUAAGUAAAAGUAAAUUUUUACAGCGAAACUGCGAAUGGCUCAUUAAAUCAGUUAUGAUCCACAUGGCAAAUACUUUACUACUGGAUAACCGUGGUAAUUCUAGAGCUAAUACAUGCAGAAAAGGCCCGACUUCGGAAGGGUUGCACUUAUUAGAUCAAAACCAUCCUGGGUAAAACCAGUUCUUUGGUGACUCAUAAUAAUUAAGCUGAUCGCAUGCCUUAUGGCGGCGACGGUACAUUCGAUUUUCUGCCCUAUCAGGCUGUUGAUUGUAAGGUAGUGGCUUACAAUGGCGACCACGGGUAACGGGGAAUUAGGGUUCGAUUCCGGAGAGGGAGCCUGAGAAACGGCUACCACAUCCAAGGAAGGCAGCAGGCGCGCAAAUUACCCAAUCCCAACUCGGGGAGGUAGUGACAAUAAAUAACAAUGCAGGGCCAUUCGGCCUUGCAAUUGGAAUGAGUACAAUUUAAAUCCCUUAACGAGGAUCAAUUGGAGGGCAAGUCUGGUGCCAGCAGCCGCGGUAAUUCCAGCUCCAAAAGCGUAUAUUAAAGUUGUUGCAGUUAAAACGUCCGUAGUCGAAUUUACGCUUGAUGACUCGAUCGCUGGUCCUUCAUUGGGCCAGAUUGGUUGUGGUCUCGGCGAUAAAGCUUGGUUCAUAGCGGUGUUGACUUCGGUUGGCGUCGUUUUCUGGCCAAGCGUAUUACCAUGAGCAAAUCAGAAUGCUCAAAGUAGGCCUACGCGCCUGAAUGUGUUAGCAUGGAAUAAUAAAAUAGGACUCGAGUCUUGUUUUGUUGGUUUACUUGACAUUGAGAAAUGAUGAAUAGGAACGGUUGGGGGCAUUUGUAUUCAAUCGCUAGAGGUGAAAUUCUUGGAUUGAUUGAAGACAAACUACUGCGAAAGCAUUUGACCCAGGACGUUUUCAUUGAUCAGGGACUAAAGUUGAGGGAUCGAAGACGAUUAGAUACCGUCGUAGUCUUAACCACAAACUAUGCCGACUAGCGAUUGGGCCUUGACCUUUGGUCAGGUUCAGCAGCUUAGCGAAAGUAAAGUCUUUGGGUUCUGGGGGGAGUAUGGGACGCAAGGCUGAAACUUAAAGGAAUUGACGGAAGGGCACCACCAGGAGUGGAGCCUGCGGU